RNAcentral lists this ribosomal RNA (279 nucleotides) under uncultured bacterium. RNAcentral describes it as "partial 16S ribosomal RNA". It matches the Rfam family "Bacterial small subunit ribosomal RNA", at positions 506 to 784 of the family's 1533-position model. The record is from RNAcentral.
UGCCAGCCGCCGCGGUAAUACGGAGGGUGCAAGCGUUGUUCGGAAUUACUGGGCGUAAAGCGCACGUAGGCGGACUGUUAAGUUAGAGGUGAAAUCCCGGGGCUCAACCCCGGAACUGCCUUUAAUACUGGCAGUCUAGAGUUCGAGAGAGGUGAGUGGAAUUCCGAGUGUAGAGGUGAAAUUCGUAGAUAUUCGGAGGAACACCAGAGGCGAAGGCGACACACUGGACCGAUACUGACGCUGAGGUGCGAAAGCGUGGGGAGCAAACAGGAUUAGAUA